Molecule: ribosomal RNA, 468 nt
Filed under: uncultured bacterium
Lineage: Bacteria
Description: partial 16S ribosomal RNA
Rfam family: Bacterial small subunit ribosomal RNA
Source: RNAcentral
GACGAACGCUGGCGGCGUGCUUAACACAUGCAAGUCGAACGGAAAGGCCCUGCUUUUGUGGUGUGCUCGAGUGGCGAACGGGUGAGUAACACGUGAGUAACCUGCCCUAGACUUUGGGAUAACUUCAGAAAACGGGGGCUAAUACCGGAUAGGAGUCCCUCCUGCAGGGUGGGGGUGGGAAAGUUUCGGCGGUUGGGGAUGGACUCGCGGCUUAUCAGCUUGUUGGUGGGGUAGUGGCUUACCAAGGCUUUGACGGGUAGCCGGCCUGAGAGGGUGACCGGCCACAUUGGGACUGAGAUACGGCCCAGACUCCUACGGGAGGCAGCAGUGGGGAAUAUUGCACAAUGGGCGGAAGCCUGAUGCAGCAACGCCGCGUGCGGGAUGACGGCCUUCGGGUUGUAAACCGCUUUCGCCUGUGACGAAGCGUGAGUGACGGUAAUGGGUAAAGAAGCACCGGCUAACUACGUG